CCUACGGGGGGCAGCAGUCGAGAAUCAUUCACAAUGGGGGAAACCCUGAUGGUGCGACGCCGCGUGGGGGAAUGAAGGUCUUCGGAUUGUAAACCCCUGUCAUGUGGGAGCAAAUUAAAAAGAUAGUACCACAAGAGGAAGAGACGGCUAACUCUGUGCCAGCAGCCGCGGUAAUACAGAGGUCUCAAGCGUUGUUCGGAAUCACUGGGCGUAAAGAGUUCGUAGGUGGCACGUUAAGUCUGGUGUUAAAGGCGGAAGCUCAACUUCCGUAGGGCAGUGUAUACUGGCGAGCUUGAAUGCGGUAGAGGUAAAGGGAAGUCCUGGUGUAGCGGUGAAAUGCGUAGAUAUCAGGAGGAACAUCGGGGGCGUAAGCGCUUUACUGGGCCGUAAUUGACACUGAGGAACGAAAGCCGGGGUAGCAAAUGGGAUUAGAUACCCCUGUAGUC
This 446-nucleotide ribosomal RNA is filed under the name uncultured bacterium. RNAcentral's name for it is "partial 16S ribosomal RNA". It matches the Rfam family "Bacterial small subunit ribosomal RNA", at positions 338 to 795 of the family's 1533-position model. The record is from RNAcentral.